This 390-nucleotide ribosomal RNA is filed under the name uncultured bacterium. RNAcentral's name for it is "bacterial SSU rRNA". It matches the Rfam family "Bacterial small subunit ribosomal RNA", at positions 28 to 419 of the family's 1533-position model. The record is from RNAcentral.
GACGAACGCUGGCGGCGUGCUUAACACAUGCAAGUCGAGCGGUAAGGCCCUUUCGGGGGUACACGAGCGGCGAACGGGUGAGUAACACGUGGGUGACCUGCCCUCAGCUCUGGGAUAAGCCUGGGAAACCGGGUCUAAUACCGGAUAUGACUCCAUGACGCAUGUUGUGGGGUGGAAAGCCUUGUGCGGCUGAGGAUGGGCCCGCGGCCUAUCAGCUUGUUGGUGGGGUGAUGGCCUACCAAGGCGACGACGGGUAGCCGGCCUGAGAGGGCGACCGGCCACACUGGGGCUGAGACACGGCCCAGACUCCUACGGGAGGCAGCAGUGGGGAAUCUUGCGCAAUGGGCGAAAGCCUGACGCAGCGACGCCGCGUGAGGGAUGACGGCCUGG